This 74-nucleotide transfer RNA is filed under the name Acropora cervicornis. Its description in RNAcentral is "tRNA-Leu". The record is from RNAcentral. Lineage: Eukaryota; Metazoa; Cnidaria; Anthozoa; Scleractinia; Acroporidae.
GGCCUGGUAGCUCUAUCCCUAGAACAAUAGUGAUAUAUUCUGAAAGGUCAUGGGUUCAAUUCCCAUCCUGGUCA